AGUGAACGCUGGCGGUAGGCCUAACACAUGCGAGUCGAACGGCAGCACAGUAAGAGCUUGCUCUUACGGGUGGCGAGUGGCGGACGGGUGAGGAAUACAUCGGAAUCUACUUUUUCGUGGGGGAUAACGUAGGGAAACUUACGCUAAUACCGCAUACGACCUACGGGUGAAAGCAGGGGAUCUUCGGACCUUGCGCGAUUGAAUGAGCCGAUGUCGGAUUAGCUAGUUGGCGGGGUAAAGGCCCACCAAGGCGACGAUCCGUAGCUGGUCUGAGAGGAUGAUUCGACCCCCCUGAACCGGGGCCCCGUCCAGACUCCUACGGGAGGCAGCAGUGGGGAAUAUUGGACAAUGGGCGCAAGCCUGAUCCAGCCAUACCGCGUGGGUGAAGAAGGCCUUCGGGUUGUAAAGCCCUUUUGUUGGGAAAGAAAAGCAGCAGGUUAAUACCCCGCUGUUCUGACGGUACCCAAAGAAUAAGCACCGGCUAACUUCGUG
Molecule: ribosomal RNA, 492 nt
Filed under: uncultured bacterium
Lineage: Bacteria
Description: partial 16S ribosomal RNA
Rfam family: Bacterial small subunit ribosomal RNA
Source: RNAcentral